UACGGAGGGUGCAAGCGUUAUCCGGAAUCAUUGGGUUUAAAGGGUCCGUAGGCGGUAAUAUAAGUCAGUGGUGAAAUCCUGCAGCUUAACUGUAGAACUGCCAUUGAUACUGCAAGUCUUGAAUUCGGUCGAAGUGGGCGGAAUAUGUCAUGUAGCGGUGAAAUGCUUAGAUAUGACAUAGAACACCGAUAGCGAAGGCAGCUCACUAGGCCUGGAUUGACGCUCAUGGACGAAAGCGUGGGUAGCGAACAGG
RNAcentral lists this ribosomal RNA (253 nucleotides) under uncultured bacterium. Its description in RNAcentral is "partial 16S ribosomal RNA". It matches the Rfam family "Bacterial small subunit ribosomal RNA", at positions 524 to 776 of the family's 1533-position model. The record is from RNAcentral.